GACGAACGCUGGCGGCGUGCUUAACACAUGCAAGUCGAACGGAAAGGCCCUGCUUUUGUGGGGUGCUCGAGCGGCGAACGGGUGAGUAACACGUGAGUAACCUGCCCUUGACUUUGGGAUAACUUCAGGAAACUGGGGCUAAUACCGGAUAGGAGCUCCUGCUGCAUGGUGGGGGUUGGAAAGUUUCGGCGGUUGGGGAUGGACUCGCGGCUUAUCAGCUUGUUGGUGGGGUAGUGGCUUACCAAGGCUUUGACGGGUAGCCGGCCUGAGAGGGUGACCGGCCACAUUGGGACUGAGAUACGGCCCAGACUCCUACGGGAGGCAGCAGUGGGGAAUAUUGCACAAUGGGCGGAAGCCUGAUGCAGCAACGCCGCGUGCGGGAUGACGGCCUUCGGGUUGCAAACCGCUUUCGCCUGUGACGAAGCGUGAGUGACGGUAAUGGGUAAAGAAGCACCGGCUAACUACGUG
Molecule: ribosomal RNA, 468 nt
Filed under: uncultured bacterium
Lineage: Bacteria
Description: partial 16S ribosomal RNA
Rfam family: Bacterial small subunit ribosomal RNA
Source: RNAcentral